CACCAGACUCCUACGGGAGGCAGCAGUGGGGGAUAUUGCACAAUGGGGGGAACCCUGAUGCAGCGACGCCGCGUGGGUGAAGGAGUAUUUCGGUAUGUAAAGCCCUAUCGGCAGGGAAGGAGCAAGACGGGACCUGACUAAGAAGCCCCGGCCAACUACGUGCCAGCAGCCGCGGUAAUACGUAGGGGGCAAGCGUUAUCCGGAUUUACUGGGUGUAAAGGGGGCGCAGACGGCGAUGCAAGCCAGGAGUGAAAGCCCGGGGCCCAACCCCGGGACUGCUCUUGGAACUGCGUGGCUGGAGUGCAGGAGGGGCAGGCGGAAUUCCUGGUGUAGCGGUGAAAUGCGUAGAUAUCAGGAGGAACACCGGUGGCGAAGGCGGCCUGCUGGACUGCAACUGACGUUGAGGCCCGAAAGCGUGGGGAGCAAACAGGAUUAGAUACCCUUGUA
RNAcentral lists this ribosomal RNA (447 nucleotides) under uncultured bacterium. Its description in RNAcentral is "bacterial SSU rRNA". It matches the Rfam family "Bacterial small subunit ribosomal RNA", at positions 329 to 792 of the family's 1533-position model. The record is from RNAcentral.